Molecule: ribosomal RNA, 2770 nt
Filed under: Ministeria vibrans
Lineage: Eukaryota; Filasterea; Ministeriida; Ministeriidae
Description: large subunit ribosomal RNA
Rfam family: Bacterial large subunit ribosomal RNA (bases 353-2720)
Source: RNAcentral
UUUAAAAAAUAUUAAAGUAAUAAAAGUUGAAUAUAGAAUACUAGAAUAUAAUUGAAGGACUAUUAAAUAGAAAUAUCUUUAAAGAGAUAAAUCCUAAGAGAAAUCUAUAAAUAAAGAAAGGAAAAAAGAAACAUCUGAGUAUCCUAAAAUAAAAUCAACCGAGUAAGGGAAAGUAUUGGCGAAAGAAAUCCUAAGACACUGCUUAACUCAAAUUUCAGGAGUAAAUCUGAUUAUAGAGCGCGAGGUAAAUAGAAGAGUAUUAUCAUAUAGAUAAGAAAGGUGAUUCAUCAUCUUCAAAAUAUUAAUAAAAAGUAUAUUAAUAUAAAGACAAUUAUAUAUCGAUAGUGAAUAGUACUGUGAAGGAAAGUAGGAAAUAUUCAAUAAUGGAAAUUGGAAAUAAAGAUUGACAAUAUACCUUUUGUAUCAGGGUUUUACGAGUUUAUAUAAGUUACAAGUUUAAUAUAAAAAUAAGAAAGCAUAGUGAAAACAAGUAUAAAGCAAUAGUAAAAUAUAAAAGACCCGAAAACUAACGAUCUUUCCAAAGGCAACAAGAGUAAUUUGAAAAUUGAAGAUUAUGAUGUGUGAACGGGUUGAUGUUGCAAUAUCAUCCGAUGACUUUUGGAAAGUGGCGUAAUACUAAUCAAGUUAGUAAAUAGCUGGUUUUCUACGAAAACUGUUUAAGCAGUUCAUUGUAUAAAAGUGUUUUAAAGGUAAAGUAACAAUUUUAAUUAUGGGUCACAUAAGGAUUAUGUAAUUAAGAUUACCUCUGAAUUAAAAAAUACAAUACAAUAGACGGACUAUUUGCGACAAGGUGAAUAAGUCAAAAGGGAAACAGCCCAGAAUUUAUGUUAAGGUAAUUAAUAGAAGCUAAUUAUGAAAAUAUAUAUAAUCAGGUACAAUUUGUGAGUAGGCUUGGAAACAGCCAUCUUAUCAACAAAACGUAAUAGUUGACGAAUCUAAGAUUAUAAUGUAUUAAAAAUGCUGGUUAAUAAGUUUCUAACCAAAACAAAUUUAAAAGAUAAGGUAGUAGAAUAUUCUGAAGAUUCAGAAGAGCUAAUGUAAGAAUGAGUAACUCCCAUAUUGUUCUAAAAUUAUAUUAAGAUAUGAAGUUAAGUUAUAAAGAUAUAUAAUGAAUAAUGAAAAUCUGAAUAGCAGUAUGAAAUAAAAGAAUAUAAAUAAUAAAUACAAUAGGCCGAAAGAUCAAGGUUUUCACACCAAUGAUUAACAAGUGUGAGUACGAGCCUCUUAGUAUUAAACGAAAGUAAAAUAUGAUGAGAAAAAAUUACUAUAACGAUUAGUAAAAUUAGAUAUAUUAGUCCAAAAUAAAUAAAAAGAAAUGAAAUAUGAGUGGAGGAAAAAAUAAAGAAAUUAAUAUGUUAAAAGUAUUAAUUUGAAUAAUAAAAUAUAUUUAAGAAUCAAAUCCUAGAAAGAAUAGUAAAUAAAAUAAAACUGUACUUAAACUAACACAAGUGAUCAGAUGUGAAUGUAUCAAGGUUAGCUGAAUAAUAAAAAUAAAGGAACUCGGCAAAUUGAGCUUGUAAGAUAACAAGAAAAGCUGCUUAAAUUAAAACGAAAGUAAAUUCUUUUAAUAUUAAAAAUGCAUAAAGUAAUUUAAAUAUUUACAGAGUUAAAGUCUAGAUUAAUUUAGGUUGUAAUAAAAUAAAUAGAGUGGAAUGAAAAGGUGCAUAGUAUUAAAAGAAUGUUUAGGCCUCAGAUAACUCGGGAACUUGGGCUUUUUACCAAAAAAAUAUCAUUCUGCAAAGGUUAAGGACCGAAGUAUAGAAUGUGAGACCUGCUCAAUGGAUUAACUUUAAGAGAAAAAGAAGUUUUAUUUCUACAAGGUAAUCUAAAUUGCCGCAGUAACUCUGACUGUGUAAAAGUAGCGAAAUCAAUCGUCAUUUAAUUGGUGACCAGUAUGAAAGGUUUAACAAAAGUUCCACUGUCUCUAUUUUUAAUCAGGUGAAAUUAAAGUAUUGGUUAAAAUUCCAAUUUGAAGCAAUUAGACGAGAAGUCCCCAUGCAACUUUACUGUUAAGUAUAAUAGAUUAUAUAUAUUUAAAUAAAAGAGAGGAGUAAGAGUAAAAAACAACAAUGGAAUACUUACUAUUAGAUAUAUAGAUCUCAUUUUUAAUUAAAGACAAUUAUAUCCAGACAGUUUAUUUGGGGCGAAUUUCUUCUAAAAGAUAACGAAGAAUAACAAAGGUGGUUUUAAUAACAAGAAUGUUAUUAAUAUUUUAAUAGAUAUUACCACUUAACAGUAAGAAUGACAAUUCAAACUGAUAUUAAAAGUAGGUUAUAAUCAUCCAAUAAAUCUAAAUGAAAAGAUUAUUGCUAAAGAAUAAAAGUUACGCUGGGGAUAACAGGCUGGUUCAAACUGAAAGUUCAUAUUGAUGUUUGAGUUCGGUUCCUCGAUGUCGACUUAAUGUAGCUUGGUAGUUGCAUAUGCUAUCUAGAGUUGGACUGUUCGUCCAUUAAAACAUUACAUGAGUUGGGUUAAUUACGUCGUAAGACAGUAAGGCUUCUAUCUUUUGUUUCUAAUAAGUAAAAAGCUAAGAUUUUAGUACGAAAGGACCAAAUCUUAAAUUCCUCUGGUGAAUAAAUUGUUUUGCGCAUUGUUUAGUAGCUACGAAUUAGUGUAUAAGCUCUGAAAGUAUCUCAAGAGCGAAGACACCUUUUAAUCUUAUAUAACAGUUAUAGACUAUAACGACUGAUUCUAGUGUCUAUUUAAAAAAUAAAAUCUAAUUUAUAAUUAAUUAGAUAUAUUUUUUGAG